AUUGAACGCUGGCGGCAUGCCUUACACAUGCAAGUCGAACGGUAACGGGCCUUCGGGUGCCGACGAGUGGCGAACGGGGGCGUAAUACAUCGGAACGUGCCCGAUCGUGGGGGAUAACGAGGCGAAAGCUUUGCUAAUACCGCAUACGACCUACGGAUGAAAGCAGGGGACCGCAAGGCCUUGCGCGGACGGAGCGGCCGAUGGCAGAUUAGGUAGUUGGUGGGAUAAAAGCUUACCAAGCCGACGAUCUGUAGCUGGUCUGAGAGGAUGAUCAGCCACACUGGGACUGAGACACGGCCCAGACUCCUACGGGAGGCAGCAGUGGGGAAUUUUGGACAAUGGGCGCAAGCCUGAUCCAGCCAUGCCGCGUGCAGGAUGAAGGCCUUCGGGUUGUAAACUGCUUUUGUACGGAACGAAAAGCCUUCUUUUAAUACAGGAGGGUCAUGACGGUACCGUAAGAAUAAGCACCGGCUAACUACGUG
RNAcentral lists this ribosomal RNA (482 nucleotides) under uncultured bacterium. Its description in RNAcentral is "partial 16S ribosomal RNA". It matches the Rfam family "Bacterial small subunit ribosomal RNA", at positions 30 to 507 of the family's 1533-position model. The record is from RNAcentral.